Hyla sarda is the source of this 1565-nucleotide long non-coding RNA. RefSeq lists it as uncharacterized. The record is from RefSeq and is a predicted model, not a curated record. The transcript is spliced from 4 exons. Lineage: Eukaryota; Metazoa; Chordata; Amphibia; Anura; Hylidae.
UUCACCAUGGCAUUGGUCAAGUGUCCACAUGACAUUGGUCAAGUGUCCAGAUACCAUGCAAUCUCCACAGUCCAAAAGUAAAGCGUUCAGGAGAUGUACCUGACUUGCAUGGAACUUUUGGUACUCCUAAUCACGUUUCUCUCAGCUGCAGAGAUUUCCCGGGAGUUUUAAACAUCCCACCACUGGAAGACGAGGAGGCUCCAUCUCAGCUCCAGAGCGGGUGUAGACUAGCGGCUAUGAUCUCUCCCCCUGCACACUCAAAAGACAGGAUCCUGCUCCCCUAUGUCAGACUCUUUCGCACACCCUCAGAAGCAGCAGUACUGAGCAGUAAUCCAUAAUACCAUCCAGAACAUAAUCCGGUCCAGCUGCAGAGGAUCAUCUUUGUCCCAGUUGAAGAACAGACAACUGGGAAAAGAUCCAGUAUGUUCUCUAUCAUUCAAGUGCACAAGAAUGUGAAGAGCGGGGCCCACUGUAAACCAUUCCCUCUCAUUUUGGACCAGAAGGCUCCUGCAGGGGUCCAGGAUCGAUGGCAUCUUUUUGACAAAGCUUGGAAAGAGCCCAAACUGCUCUUGGCUUCGACCUGGACUGCCACCCUAGUAUCCACCAUGAAGCACAAAAAUACAUGUUGGCCUCCUGACUACAGAGAAUGGUGGUUACAGGAAGGUGAAGAACUUGAUGGCCACACUCACACUCAGACCCUAAAGCACAGGGCCCACUGAAAGAUCCUUGCAACAAAUAAGAGUAGACAAGUGAACAAUACUUUUGUCCUAUAAUUUUCCUGAAUCCUAAACAUCAUAAUUUGGUAUCAUUAUGGGGACUGUAUGGUGGAGCCAUAGGCACUCUGUGCUGCCUUAUGGUGCCACCACACAGCACUGUGCACUGUAUUCUCCUCAAAUAGUAAUUCUAGAUGCAAUACAUAAACCAUUCCAUUUAUGUUAUUUUAGGUUGGAUUCAGGAUUCAGGUACAUUGUGAGGAUGAAUAUUUCUUACCUUCAGCGACCAAAAGAUAAGCUGCAGAGAAAAACAAGAUAUAAAAAAGCUUCAUGAUGCUCAGGUCAGUCUAAGUGUAUGUGUCUGGUUGUGAGUGUUUAAAUACUGUAAAAAGUUAUCUAGAAAAUCUACCACAAAUUGACUAAUUUAGCAUAAAUGAAAAUACACUGUAUUCCCACGUAUUUGGUGGUUUCAUUUAGUAAUAUUUUUAAAUCUGGUCCUAAAAGUUCCCAAGAAACUUAACCACAUGAACAGAAAUAAAAACAUUCAGACAAAUAUUGUUCAAAUCUUGUAAAAUAUUAAAACAAAUAAAUAACUUCACAAUUCAAUAUAUAAGGACAGUUGGAAAAUGAGUAUACAAUACAGAGGGUCUUUGGUGCUAUAAAACCCUAGUAGCAUUCAGUCCAUAUCAUUUGAGAGGAGCGAAUCAAAUUGGACAAAGUCGAACUCGUUCCGAAUUUCAUGAAAAAUUUGAUCCGGACCGAAUCUGAACUUUGACUCGAUUUGAAAUAACGAAUUUCCUCAUUAGCAACACCCUCUGUGAUUGUACUGUAUAAUGUAUAGAUGCGAGCGGC